Molecule: ribosomal RNA, 497 nt
Filed under: uncultured bacterium
Lineage: Bacteria
Description: partial 16S ribosomal RNA
Rfam family: Bacterial small subunit ribosomal RNA
Source: RNAcentral
GAUGAACGCUGGCGGCGUGCCUAAUACAUGCAAGUCGAGCGGACAAACGAAGCGUUUUCCUCUCUUAAGUUAGGGGCGGGAGGGUGAGUAACACGUGGCUAACCUACCUUUAAGGAUAGGGUAACUUCGGGGAAGCGGAUCUCAUACACGUCCAUAUAUUGAAAGGCAGGGUUCUUCAGAGCACAACCGAUUUUCUGACACUUAUUCAUAGAACCGCGCCGCAUUAGCUAGUUGGUAAGGUAACGGCUUACCAAGGCAACGAUGCGUAGCCGACCUGAGAGGGUGAUCGGCCACACUGGAACUGAGACACGGUCCAGACUCCUACGGGAGGCAGCAGUAGGGAAUCUUCCGCAAUGGGCGAAGGCCUGACGGAGCAACGCCGCGUGAGUGAUGAAGGUCUUCGGAUCGUAAAACUCUGUUAUUAGGGAAGAACAAAUGUGUAAGUAACUAUGCACGUCUUGACGGUACCUAAUCAGAAAGCCACGGCUAACUACGUG